This 497-nucleotide ribosomal RNA is filed under the name uncultured bacterium. RNAcentral describes it as "partial 16S ribosomal RNA". It matches the Rfam family "Bacterial small subunit ribosomal RNA", at positions 28 to 507 of the family's 1533-position model. The record is from RNAcentral.
GACGAACGCUGGCGGCGUGCCUAAUACAUGCAAGUCGAGCGCUGAAGGUUGGUACUUGUACCGACUGGAUGAGCAGCGAACGGGUGAGUAACGCGUGGGGAAUCUGCCUUUGAGCGGGGGACAACAUUUGGAAACGAAUGCUAAUACCGCAUAAAAACUUUAAACACAAGUUUCAAGAUUGAAAGAUGCAAUUGCAUCACUCAAAGAUGAUCUCGCGUUGUAUUAGCUAGUUGGUGAGGUAAAGGCUCACCAAGGCGAUGAUACAUAGCCGACCUGAGAGGGUGGUCCGCCCCCUUGGGACUGGAGCCCCGCCCCAGCCUCUUCGGGGGGCAACAGGAGGGGAUCUUCGGCAAUGGGCGGAAGUCUGGACGGACCACGCCGGGUGGGGUGAGGAGGGUUUCCGGUCGUUAAACUCUGUUGGUUGGGAAGAACGUUGGUGAGAGUGAAAAGCUCAUCAAGUGACGGUACCUACCCAGAAAGCGACGGCUAACUACGUG